CCCUUAGACGUUCUGGGCCGCACGCGCGCUACACUGACCAGUGCAACAAGCAUCCGUCCUUGGCCGACAGGCCCGGGCAAUCUUUGAACGCUGGUCGUGAUGGGGAUAGACUUUUGCAAUUUUUGGUCUUCAACGAGGAAUUCCUAGUAAACGCAAGUCAUCAACUUGCAUUGAUUACGUCCCUGCCCUUUGUACACACCGCCCGUCGCUACUACCGAUUGAAUGAUUUAGUGAGGACUUCGGACUGGGACCGAUGCGGCUUUCGGGCUGCGUCGGUAUUCUGGAAAGAUGUCCAAACUGUAUCAUUUAGAGGAAGUAAAAGUCGUAACA
RNAcentral lists this ribosomal RNA (330 nucleotides) under uncultured eukaryote. Its description in RNAcentral is "partial 18S ribosomal RNA". It matches the Rfam family "Eukaryotic small subunit ribosomal RNA", at positions 1470 to 1796 of the family's 1831-position model. The record is from RNAcentral.